UGAAAUUGCAUCAUCUUAUCAAAAUGAGCGACGACGAGAAAAGAGAUACUUCAGUCUUUGAAAUUGCCAUGGCGGUCAUAGGUGUCGUUGGAGCCGUUGCUGGCUUGUUCUCCGGGAUGGGAUCAGGACCCCAAACGAAGACUAUGAAGGCUCCCGGUAAGGAUGGUCGGAUUUUCAGGAAUGCUUUCGAGAGCGACCCGAAAGGGUAUUUCCAGAACCUGCGUAAGAAAUGAAUAUGUUUGAUGAUGUAUGUGGGAC
RNAcentral lists this long non-coding RNA (258 nucleotides) under Brassica napus (rape). Its description in RNAcentral is "long non-coding RNA (BNAP_LNC005580)". Lineage: Eukaryota; Viridiplantae; Streptophyta; Magnoliopsida; Brassicales; Brassicaceae. The record is from RNAcentral.